This 274-nucleotide ribosomal RNA is filed under the name uncultured bacterium. Its description in RNAcentral is "partial 16S ribosomal RNA". It matches the Rfam family "Bacterial small subunit ribosomal RNA", at positions 523 to 796 of the family's 1533-position model. The record is from RNAcentral.
AUACGGAGGGUCCAAGCGUUAUCCGGAAUCAUUGGGUUUAAAGGGUCCGUAGGCGGGCAAUUAAGUCAGAGGUGAAAGCCCACAGCUCAACUGUGGAACUGCCUUUGAUACUGGUUGCCUUGAAUUAUAGUUAAGUAGAUAGAAUGUGUAGUGUAGCGGUGAAAUGCAUAGAUAUUACACAGAAUACCGAUUGCGAAGGCAGUCUACUAACUAUAUAUUGACGCUGAUGGACGAAAGCGUGGGGAGCGAACAGGAUUAGAAACCCCAGUAGUCC